GCGGGGUAAUGGCCCACCAAGGCUACGACGGGUAGCUGGUCUGAGAGGAUGGCCAGCCACAUUGGGACUGAGAGACGGCCCAGACUCCUACGGGAGGCAGCAGUGGGGAAUCUUGCGCAAUGGCCGAAAGGCUGACGCAGCGACGCCGCGUGUGGGAUGACGCCCUUCGGGGUGUAAACCACUGUUGCCCGGGACGAACAUCUUCUUUCGAGUGGACUGACGGUACCGGGUGAGGAAGCACCGGCUAACUCCGUGCCAGCAGCCGCGGUAAUACGGAGGGUGCGAGCGUUGUCCGGAAUCACUGGGCGUAAAGGGCGCGUAGGCGGCGCGGAAAGUCAACGGUGAAAGCUUGGGGCUCAACCCCGAGUCGGCCGUCGAUACUUCCGUGCUCGAGCACUGUAGAGGCAGGUGGAAUUCCGGGUGUAGCGGUGGAAUGCGUAGAGAUCCGGAAGAACACCGGUGGCGAAGGCGGCCUGCUGGGCAGUAGCUGACGCUGAUGCGCGACAGCGUGGGGAGCAAACAGGAUUAGAUACCCUGGUAGUCCACGCCGUAAACGAUGGGUACUAGGUGUGGGGGAGCGACCCCCUGAGUGCCGGCGCUA
Molecule: ribosomal RNA, 601 nt
Filed under: uncultured bacterium
Lineage: Bacteria
Description: bacterial SSU rRNA
Rfam family: Bacterial small subunit ribosomal RNA
Source: RNAcentral